Molecule: transfer RNA, 77 nt
Filed under: Phormidesmis sp. RL_2_1
Lineage: Bacteria; Bacillati; Cyanobacteriota; Cyanophyceae; Leptolyngbyales; Leptolyngbyaceae
Description: tRNA-His
Rfam family: tRNA
About the family: Transfer RNA (tRNA) molecules are approximately 80 nucleotides in length. Their secondary structure includes four short double-helical elements and three loops (D, anti-codon, and T loops). Further hydrogen bonds mediate the characteristic L-shaped molecular structure. tRNAs have two regions of fundamental functional importance: the anti-codon, which is responsible for specific mRNA codon recognition, and the 3' end, to which the tRNAs corresponding amino acid is attached (by aminoacyl-tRNA synthetases). tRNAs cope with the degeneracy of the genetic code in two manners: having more than one tRNA (with a specific anti-codon) for a particular amino acid; and 'wobble' base-pairing, i.e. permitting non-standard base-pairing at the 3rd anti-codon position.
Source: RNAcentral
UUGGCCGAAUCCGAAGUGGACGAGGAGCUGGUCUGUGAAACCAGUGUUAGCGGGUUCGAGCCCCGUCGGUCAACCCA